CAGGAAAAUCUGGGGAGUGGUCAGAGCAGUUCCUCAGAGACAAAGGGCAAGUUGAUGCCUCGGGCAAGUGUAAACAAGGCUGAUGGGACAAUUACCAGAGCCAGGAAACUGCAAAGUCCCAAGUCUGAUGUCGAUGGUUUGCACCAAACGCCAAAACCAUUCCGUGACAGUGGCUGAAACAAGAUCCCAGCACCUGUGUGGAACCCCACUGAUUUCAGAGAUUACUCAGAAGAGUAAAGUUACAUGCAUGCUUAAGAACUUGCAGGAUCAGGGUCUUUCCUCACAUGCAGAAGUGUUCCUUUGAACUGAAAUGUCAGACAAGCAGGUAAAUUCAUACUUCAGUUUUAUUAUCUUUUAGGCAUGGAUUGAAACAUUCAUUUAUUUUAUUUUAUUUUAUUUUUUGCACUGGUGGUUCCUGAAACAUGCCUGAAGUGAACGCUGAACAGGGAAAAAUCUGUCUCCUAGGGCUGAAGAGUUAAACUGGAUGGGAGAUGUAGCCGAAUUUCAAAAGGGACAUCACUGUUCAGAAAGAUGGUGUGAGCCCCAGCCUGUGACAUUAAAAGAAGAGGACAGAGACAGCAGUGGUGGCUGCAUCUGACCACUGGAUGAUGCUGUUGGUUAGUUGUAGUACCACUGUAUUCAUUGCAGUUCGGAUUCCGCGGGUUGUCCUGCAGCUUUUUAUAUAAAGAAGAGGGGAAAUCUCCACUUCUCUUGCACAGUCAUGGUACAAUGACUACAUCCAGCAUGAGGUUAGUAAUAGUAUGUGAUUUUAUGGUAAGAACGUCUUACCUCUUGAAGGUACAUUGUU
Molecule: long non-coding RNA, 808 nt
Organism: Mauremys reevesii (Reeves's turtle)
Lineage: Eukaryota; Metazoa; Chordata; Testudines; Geoemydidae
Exons: 4
Source: RefSeq, a predicted model, not a curated record